UGGCAGAUGAUUGUUUUCUAAUGGAAGAGUCUGAGUGAAUGAAUAAUGUGUGUCUUUAUAAAGAAAUUGAUUGGACUUGGAUUUUGAAUAUUAUGUUGAUAAAAUCUUUUAUCUAGUAAUUUAGUAUCUACCAAAUAUUAACAUAUUUACUCAACUUUUAUGAAUAUUUGAUAGAUAUUUUUCUAUUGAAAUUUUCAAUAUUUUUUGCAGCAAAAUAUUUUUCAAUAUUACAUUUCAACCCUUCCCUCUUCCCUAAAAUUGCAUUUUAGUCC
This 272-nucleotide long non-coding RNA is filed under the name Vigna radiata. Its description in RNAcentral is "long non-coding RNA (VRAD_LNC002928)". Lineage: Eukaryota; Viridiplantae; Streptophyta; Magnoliopsida; Fabales; Fabaceae. The record is from RNAcentral.